RNAcentral lists this ribosomal RNA (253 nucleotides) under uncultured bacterium. RNAcentral describes it as "partial 16S ribosomal RNA". It matches the Rfam family "Bacterial small subunit ribosomal RNA", at positions 524 to 776 of the family's 1533-position model. The record is from RNAcentral.
UACGGGGGGAGCAAACGUUGUUCGGAAUCACUGGGCGUAAAGGGCGCGUAGGCGGCUUUAUAAGUGAGGUGUUAAAUCCCCCGGCUCAACCGGGGACCUGCACUUCAUACUGUUUAGCUUGAGUACAGCAGAGGAGACUGGAAUUCCCGGUGUAGCGGUGAAAUUCGUAGAUAUCGGGAGGAACACCAGUGGCGAAGGCGGCUUCCUGGACAUUUACUGACGCUGAGACGCGAAAGCGUGGGGAGCAAACAGG